AGCAGUCGCCGCGGUAAUACGAAGGGUGCAAGCGUUAAUCGGAAUUACUGGGCGUAAAGCGUGCGUGGGCGGUUUGUUAAGUCUGUUGUGAAAUCCCCGGGCUCAACCUGGGAAUGGCAAUGGAUACUGGCAAGCUAGAGUGUGUCAGAGGAUGGUGGAAUUCCCGGUGUAGCGGUGAAAUGCGUAGAGAUCGGGAGGAGCAUCAGUGGCGAAGGCGGCCAUCUGGGACAACACUGACGCUGAGGCACGAAAGCGUGGGGAGCAAACAGGAUUAGAUACCCGUGUAGUCCCUGUCUCUUAUAC
This 303-nucleotide ribosomal RNA is filed under the name uncultured bacterium. RNAcentral's name for it is "partial 16S ribosomal RNA". It matches the Rfam family "Bacterial small subunit ribosomal RNA", at positions 507 to 807 of the family's 1533-position model. The record is from RNAcentral.